RNAcentral lists this ribosomal RNA (698 nucleotides) under uncultured bacterium. Its description in RNAcentral is "bacterial SSU rRNA". It matches the Rfam family "Bacterial small subunit ribosomal RNA", at positions 183 to 882 of the family's 1533-position model. The record is from RNAcentral.
UAGAAGACAUCUGAAAGGGAUUAAAGAUUUAUCGGUGAUGGAUGGGGAUGCGUCUGAUUAGCUUGUUGGCGGGGUAACGGCCCACCAAGGCGACGAUCAGUAGGGGUUCUGAGAGGAAGGUCCCCCACAUUGGAACUGAGACACGGUCCAAACUCCUACGGGAGGCAGCAGUGAGGAAUAUUGGUCAAUGGGCGAGAGCCUGAACCAGCCAAGUAGCGUGCAGGAUGACGGCCCUAUGGGUUGUAAACUGCUUUUAUAAGGGAAUAAAGUGAGUCUCGUGAGACUUUUUGCAUGUACCUUAUGAAUAAGGACCGGCUAAUUCCGUGCCAGCAGCCGCGGUAAUACGGAAGGUCCGGGCGUUAUCCGGAUUUAUUGGGUUUAAAGGGAGCGUAGGCCGGAGAUUAAGCGUGUUGUGAAAUGUAGAUGCUCAACAUCUGCACUGCAGCGCGAACUGGUUUCCUUGAGUACGCACAAAGUGGGCGGAAUUCGUGGUGUAGCGGUGAAAUGCUUAGAUAUCACGAAGAACUCCGAUUGCGAAGGCAGCUCACUGGAGCGCAACUGACGCUGAAGCUCGAAAGUGCGGGUAUCGAACAGGAUUAGAUACCCUGGUAGUCCGCACGGUAAACGAUGGAUGCCCGCUGUUGGUCUGAAUAGGUCAGCGGCCAAGCGAAAGCAUUAAGCAUCCCACCUGGGGAGUA